Mycena galericulata is the source of this 90-nucleotide non-coding RNA. Lineage: Eukaryota; Fungi; Basidiomycota; Agaricomycetes; Agaricales; Mycenaceae. The record is from the annotation of a GenBank genome assembly.
GGCCCAGUAGUGUACUGGUAACACAUCCUCUUUCCUUAGCGCACUCCCACAAGUCAGAGGAAGUACCCCGUUCGAUUCGGGGCUGGGCCA